CACCCAUCCGCCCCGCCUCCAACUCGUUCGACCAGGGUUGGGCUAUACGGGCGCGCUCUCGGGGACAGGGGGGGCAGUCCCGGUCCCGGCCCUCCGCGCGGGUGGGCUUGGAGCAGGCCGCACCGGGCGGGAACCCCACUCCCACCCCGGAGGCCCCCUGCCCUUUCUCCCCCUUUCCCCCCGGCCCAUGGUGCGAGGCUGGGAGCCGCCGCCCGGGCCGGACCGUGCUAUCUCUGAAGGGCACAAAUCAGAAAGCACCAUGCCUCCUAAUAAAGAGGCCAGCAGUCUUAAUAGCUCCCCAGCGGGGCUCAUCUGCCUGCCUCCAAUCUCCGAGGAGCUACAACUUGUGUGGACCCAAGCAGCCCAGACCAGUGAGCUGGAUGGCAAUGAACACUUGCUACAAACCUUCAGCUACUUUCCCUAUCCCAGUCUAGCAGACAUUGCCCUUCUCUGCUUACGCUAUGGGCUGCAGAUGGAGAAAGUCAAGACUUGGUUCAUGGCCCAGCGCCUCCGCUGUGGCAUUAGCUGGUCAUCUGAAGAAAUAGAAGAGACUCGAGCCCGAGUGGUCUACCAUCGGGACCAGCUCCAUUUCAAAUCCCUUCUCUCUUUUACUCAUCAUGCAGGGCGGCCCCCAGAGGAGGUGCCUCCUCCAUUGCCACCUCCAGAACAAAUGGGUCUUGGAAUAGUACCCCUGACUCUUAGUGAGCCCACCCAAAUGAAAGGCUUGAAGGUAGAACCUGAGGAGUCCUCAGAGCUGCUGAGUCACCAGAAAGCAAAGGAACCCCUGAUGGCACCUGGCAGUGGGGCAUUCCCCCACCAAUCAGAUUUUUGGCAGGAUCUUCAAAGUGGUGGCUUCUCUAAGGAGCAGGCAGGCAGGGGUCCCCACCAGUCACAUGGCCUAGGUUCUGCUUCCUGGAACCACUCCACAGCUGUCCAUCCGCCACAUGCUCGGGAUAAGCCCCCACCAAUCUCACUACUUGCUAGUAGUUGUAAGCAGGAGUCAACAUCUAAUAUGACUCCUUCUUCUCCCUCUACCUCCUCUUCCACUUUCCCAGUACUGGCUAAUGGAGCUACUGCCACCUCUAAACCCCUCCAGUCACUAGGCUGUAUCUCACAGCCACUGUCACCCAGUGAACAGGCACUGCCCCCACAUCUGGAGCCAGCUUGGCCCCAGGGGCUAAGACAUAAUUCAGUACCAGGUAGGGUUGGCCCUGCAGAGUACCUUUCUCCAGAUAUGCAACGCCAGCGAAAGACCAAGCGCAAAACCAAAGAGCAGCUGGCUAUCCUCAAAUCUUUUUUUUUACAGUGCCAAUGGGCACGGCGUGAGGAUUACCAUAAAUUAGAACAGAUCACUGGUUUACCUCGACCUGAGAUCAUUCAGUGGUUUGGUGACACACGCUAUGCCUUGAAGCAUGGGCAACUAAAAUGGUUUCGGGACAAUGCAGUACCUGGUGCCUCUAGUUUCCAGGACCCAGCAAUUCCCACACCCCCACCUUCAACCCGCUCCUUGAAUGAAUGGGCUGAGACACCACCUCUGCCAAACCCCCCACCCCCACCGGAUAUACGACCUUUGGAGAGGUACUGGGCAGCCCAUCAACAGCUACGGGAAAGUGAUAUCCCUCAACUGAGUCAGGCAUCAAGGCUUAGCACCCAGCAGGUACUGGAUUGGUUUGACUCUCGAUUACCUGAGCCAGCUGAGGUGGUGGUUUGUCUAGAUGAAGAGGAAGAAGAGGAGGAGGAAGAACUGCCAGAAGAUGACGAGGAUGAAGAGGAGGAGGAGGAGGAAGAAGAGGAUGAUGAUGAUGACGAUGUGAUCAUACAGGACUGAGUCGGGGGGACUAGGGGAGGGAAGGUCUGUUACUAAAAGAUGAACCAACUUAGUAACUGUUUAAACAAAGAAACCACAUUUUUUUAAAUUACUUUGUGGCAAAGAACUGAAAAGCUUUGUGUUCUUGAGGUUGGGGGAUUGGGGAUGUAGUGAGGGUGGACCAGAGAGGAUGACCAUAGGAUCUAAAGAGAGGUGGGAAUUGGAUGAACAGAAAUCAGUCCUCUCGUCUCAGUGAAGAGUGCACUAAGGAUGUGGUCCAAACCAUGGGCUGGGAGAAGGCUUUUUUGCUCUCUUCAUGUCUGCUGUUCUUUUCCCUUAGUGUGCAAUGGAAAGCCCAGACCUUGGCCAUACAUCUAUAGGAGGACUGGAAAAGAAGAGUAAAGAAUUUUGAUUCAAUUGAUGAUUCCAGUGCAGACCCCAGUCCCACCAUUUUCCCUGGAAUCUCCGUGGUAGCCUUGAAAACCAACAUUCUGGCAUCAUCGUGGGGAUGGAAUGGGUUUGGAACUCUUUCAAAGCCUCAUUCCCAGAAAAUAAUCAUUUGACCUGUCCAGUGGCAACUGGAAGACUCCACUUGCAAGGCUGACUUUAUUUGAUCCGACCUGGAGCGCAAAUUCAUCGGGACUUGGAGCUUAGAGUUCAUCACCUGUGAAAAGCCUUUUCCCCAGGAGUGUGUGUUGUAAACAAUUAGAAGCACUUGUUUGGGCUGCUUGAGAAUGUGAAUAUCAAUUGGGGCAAAUAAUAGGCUAACCUGAAAGCAUAGCUGGAAGAGAUGGGGAAUGAAUUGUUGGUGGGGACUCUGAAAACAAUACAUUCUUGGAGUCUAGAACAUAUGCAUAUGCAGGACUAUAUGCAUGCUCAGAAAAUACCUGAAAAAGCCCCAAUCUCUUACCUUGAGGUCAUACAAGCAGGUUGAAGGCUAAGGUCAGUUGCCUGGCUAAGUGCUGAAAGAGAACCCCAACACAUAUACAGAAACCCUCAGCAAAGACUGAGAGACUUACUGGUUCCAAGCGUUUAAGGGAAUCUCUGUCCAGUCCUUAGCUGACCACUAAACUAACUGAAUAGAGACUUUGGUGGCUCCACAUGACAAUACAGAUUUUAUAGAAUUUUUAAAAAGUCACUAAACAAUAAACAGCAAGAACAAUAACAAAAAAAAAAAACCCAUGGGGAGGGGGAAGAAUCUGAUUCCAAGAACUGCCAUGUUAUACUAUUUUAAUGUCCAAUUUCCAACAAAAAAUGAGGUAUAUAAAGAAGUAUGACCCAUAUAAAGAAAUAAAGCAAUCGAUGGAAACUGUCCUUGAGGAAGCCCAGACAUUGUACUAAGCCCAGCCUAGACUUUGUCUAGACAAAGACUUUAAGUCAGGUAUUUUAUUUUAAAGAUUUUAUUUAUUUAUUAGAGAGAGAGAGAGCAAGAGAGGACAUGAGCAGGGAAGAGAGGGAGAAGCAGGCUCCUUCAUAGGGAGUCCCACAUGAUAUGCUCAAUCCCAGGACUCUGAGAUCAUGACCUGAGCUCAAGGACGACACUUAACCAGCUGAGCCCUAAAUUAGAUAUUUUUUUUUAAAGGAUUUUAUUUGACAGAGAUUACAAGUAGACAGAGAUGCAGGCAGAGAGGAAGGGAAGCAGGCUCCCUGCUGAGCAGAGAGCCCGAUGUGGGGCUCCAUCCCAGGAUCCUGGGAUCAUGACCUGAGCUGAAGGCAGAGGCUUUAACCCAGUGAGCCACCCAGGUGCCCCUCUUUUCUUUAAAGAUUUUUUAUUUUCAAGUAAUCUUAUACCCAAGGUAGGGCUUGAACUCACAACCCCAAGAUUAAGAGUUGCAUACUUUUCCAACUGAGCCAGCCAGGUACCCUUAAAUCAGGUAUUUUAAAUAUGCUCAAAUAUCUUUGGAAACCAUGUCUAAAGCACUUAAGUAUGAGUGUGGUAUCUCAGCAAAUAGAGAAUAUUAAUGAAGAAAAAAUAUAUUUAAAAGAACCAAAUAUAAAUUUUGGGAUUGAAAAUAAUAAAAAUGAGAACUUCACUAGAGCAACUCAUCAGCACAAACAGAAGAAAAAAAAAUGAGCAUUUUGAAGUCCACCGAGACUAUCCAAUGUGAGGAAGAGAAAGAAAAAAUAAUGAAGGAAAAUGAAGAGAGUUUCAGAGACCUUGGUGGAACACCAUCAAGUUUAUCAACACAUGCAUUAUGGGAUUUCUAGAAAAAAAAAAAAAAGGAACAAGAGCAGAAAGAAUAUUUCAAGAAAUAAUGGCUGACAACUUCCCAAAUUAGAUGAAAAAAAAAAAAAAAAAAACUACACUUCUACACUUCCAAGAAGCUCAACUGCUAAAGAAGUCUGUUAGAUUUAGUUGGUAUAUAAUGUUCAAAUCUUUUAUUCCAUUGCUUAUCUUCUGUCUAGUUGCUCUAUUUGUUACUGAAAGUGGGGUACUAAAGUCUAGUAGUUUUCCUCUAGUUCUCUUUGAUUCUGUUAGUCUUGCACCUUUGCUACCUAAGACUUUGUUGUUUUAUAGAUACACACACAUAUACUUUAUUAUUAUUUUUUUUAUUUUUUAAAGAUUUUAUUUAUUUGACAGGCAGAGAUUACAAGUAGGCAGAGAGGCAGGCAGAGAGAGGAGGGGGAAGCAGGCUCCACACUGAGGAGAGAGCCCGAUGUGGGGCUCGAUCCCAGGACCAUGACCUGAGCCGAAGGCAGAGGCUUUAACCCAUUGAGCCACCCAGGCACUCCCCCCCCACACACAUUUUAAAGGAUUUUAUUUAUUUUAGAGAGAGAGAGGGAAUGAGAACAAAUUAGGGAAGGGGCAGAGGGAGAAGCAGACUCCCUGUUGAGCAGGGAGCCCAACAAAGGACUCCAUCUCAGGAUCCCGGGAUCUUGACCUGAGCCAAGGGCAGAUGCUUAACUGACUGAGCCAUCCAGGAGCCCAAGGCCAUACAUUUUAAAGUAUCUAAAUUAUAAAAAGUAUUUUGUCCUACCACAAUGGAAUGAAAUUAAAAAUCAGUACCAGGAGGAAAUCUGUGAAAAUUAAAAAUAUGUUGAUAUUAAACAAAUAACCAAUGGUCCAAAGGAGGGGAAAAAAAGAAAUUAGAAAAGAUUUUGAGAUGAAUGAAAACAAAGCCAGAAAAUACUAAACCUUAUAGGGCACAAUGAAAGCAGUGCUUAGAGUGAAAUUUAUAACUGAAAAUGUCUUCAUUAAAAAUGACCUCCAAUCAAUAACCCAACCUUUUGUCUUAAGAAACUAAAAGAGGGGGGCACCUGGGUGGCUCAGUGGUUUAAGCCUCUGCCUUUGGCUCAGGUCAUGAUCUCAGGGUCCUGGGAUUGAGCCCCACAUCUCUCUGCUUGCUGCUCUGCCUACUUCUGAUUUCUUGCUCUGUCAAAUAAAUAAAUAAAAUCUUAAAAAAAAAAAAAACAAAAAACUAAAAGAGAACUAAACCCAAAACAAGCAGAAGGAAAGAAAUAAAACUUAGAGCAGAAACAAAUGGAACAGAGAACAGAAAAACAGAAAAUCAACAAAACCAAAAGUGAUUUCUUUGAAAUGUUCAACUAGAUUGGCUAGCUAGGCUCUCCAAAUAAAAGUAAAAAAGUAGUAGAAAGCUUCAAAUAACUAAAAUCAGGAACAAAAGAGAGACUAUUACUACUAACCUGAAAAAUUCUCUAGAACUUCUACAUUUUUCAAAGCGUGAAUAUGAAAGAAUUGGAGGGAAACUAUUUGGUGUUUUUGGUUAUCCAGAAAGAAAUAAACAAAUUUCACAAUUGUCUCUUGUGAAAGAAAGGGAAAUCCUCUCUCAUUAAAUAUUCUCUAUGGACUGGCUAAUACCCUUGAAAGUAGUAAUAAUAAAAGUAGUUCUAAGAGGAAAGAGACAAGAAAUUAAGUGGGUAUUCUUCACUGGAAUAUUUUUAAGUUUAAUACACAGUAAAGAAGCCUGAUACCCUUCAGGUUAACAUAAUCCAUGGCUAGUUAGCCUUCCUUUUAGACCUAAAUUCUACUGCCAUCUUGUGGCAAUUAAAAAAAAUCCAAAUCUAUUUACUCAAGUUAACCCUCCGUCUUUGACCAGAGGUUUUCUUUUCUUUUCUUUCUUUCUUUCUUUUUUUUUUUUUUUUUUUAAAGAUUUUAUUUAUUUGACAGAGAGGGAAAGAGAGAUCACAAGUAGGCAGAGAACCGGGCAGAGGGGAGGGGGGGGGAGCAGGCUCCCUGCCGAGCAGAGAGCCCAAUGCAGGGCUCGAUCCCAGGACCCUGAGAUCACAACCUGAGCUGAAGGCAGAGGCUUAACCCACUGAGCCACCCAGGUGCCCCAACCAGAGGUUUUCAAUGACUUUCUAUUGCUCAAAAAAGUUUCUCCUUAUUAGUUUGAGAACAGGAAUAUAAUUAUUUGAAAAGUAAUAAUAUAUCUCUAGAUACCUUGAAUCAGUGUUUGGAAAAAAACAAAUGGCAUUACCUUAUGCACAGAAAAUACAUAAUGGCAUAAUUAUAUAGAAAACCAGAAAUCUGCUGGUAUCUGCACAAAAUAUGUUGGUUUCUGAACCUUUUUUCCCCUUCUCACCGGUAUGAGAGUCCCUGGGAGUGCUUCUUCCCUGCAGGCCUCUGGCUCCCUGAUGGACAAAAAAUAAACAAUUAAUAAAUAUAUCCUAAUUCUC
Molecule: RNA transcript, 6445 nt
Organism: Mustela lutreola (European mink)
Lineage: Eukaryota; Metazoa; Chordata; Mammalia; Carnivora; Mustelidae
Gene: HOMEZ
Gene name: homeobox and leucine zipper encoding
Exons: 3
Source: RefSeq, a predicted model, not a curated record